This 1527-nucleotide ribosomal RNA is filed under the name Klebsiella pneumoniae. RNAcentral's name for it is "bacterial SSU rRNA". It matches the Rfam family "Bacterial small subunit ribosomal RNA". Lineage: Bacteria; Pseudomonadati; Pseudomonadota; Gammaproteobacteria; Enterobacterales; Enterobacteriaceae. The record is from RNAcentral.
AGAGUUUGAUCAUGGCUCAGAUUGAACGCUGGCGGCAGGCCUAACACAUGCAAGUCGAGCGGUAGCACAGAGAGCUUGCUCUCGGGUGACGAGCGGCGGACGGGUGAGUAAUGUCUGGGAAACUGCCUGAUGGAGGGGGAUAACUACUGGAAACGGUAGCUAAUACCGCAUAAUGUCGCAAGACCAAAGUGGGGGACCUUCGGGCCUCAUGCCAUCAGAUGUGCCCAGAUGGGAUUAGCUAGUAGGUGGGGUAACGGCUCACCUAGGCGACGAUCCCUAGCUGGUCUGAGAGGAUGACCAGCCACACUGGAACUGAGACACGGUCCAGACUCCUACGGGAGGCAGCAGUGGGGAAUAUUGCACAAUGGGCGCAAGCCUGAUGCAGCCAUGCCGCGUGUGUGAAGAAGGCCUUCGGGUUGUAAAGCACUUUCAGCGGGGAGGAAGGCGUUAAGGUUAAUAACCUUGGCGAUUGACGUUACCCGCAGAAGAAGCACCGGCUAACUCCGUGCCAGCAGCCGCGGUAAUACGGAGGGUGCAAGCGUUAAUCGGAAUUACUGGGCGUAAAGCGCACGCAGGCGGUCUGUCAAGUCGGAUGUGAAAUCCCCGGGCUCAACCUGGGAACUGCAUUCGAAACUGGCAGGCUAGAGUCUUGUAGAGGGGGGUAGAAUUCCAGGUGUAGCGGUGAAAUGCGUAGAGAUCUGGAGGAAUACCGGUGGCGAAGGCGGCCCCCUGGACAAAGACUGACGCUCAGGUGCGAAAGCGUGGGGAGCAAACAGGAUUAGAUACCCUGGUAGUCCACGCCGUAAACGAUGUCGAUUUGGAGGUUGUGCCCUUGAGGCGUGGCUUCCGGAGCUAACGCGUUAAAUCGACCGCCUGGGGAGUACGGCCGCAAGGUUAAAACUCAAAUGAAUUGACGGGGGCCCGCACAAGCGGUGGAGCAUGUGGUUUAAUUCGAUGCAACGCGAAGAACCUUACCUGGUCUUGACAUCCACAGAACUUUCCAGAGAUGGAUUGGUGCCUUCGGGAACUGUGAGACAGGUGCUGCAUGGCUGUCGUCAGCUCGUGUUGUGAAAUGUUGGGUUAAGUCCCGCAACGAGCGCAACCCUUAUCCUUUGUUGCCAGCGGUNGGCCGGGAACUCAAAGGAGACUGCCAGUGAUAAACUGGAGGAAGGUGGGGAUGACGUCAAGUCAUCAUGGCCCUUACGACCAGGGCUACACACGUGCUACAAUGGCAUAUACAAAGAGAAGCGACCUCGCGAGAGCAAGCGGACCUCAUAAAGUAUGUCGUAGUCCGGAUUGGAGUCUGCAACUCGACUCCAUGAAGUCGGAAUCGCUAGUAAUCGUAGAUCAGAAUGCUACGGUGAAUACGUUCCCGGGCCUUGUACACACCGCCCGUCACACCAUGGGAGUGGGUUGCAAAAGAAGUAGGUAGCUUAACCUUCGGGAGGGCGCUUACCACUUUGUGAUUCAUGACUGGGGUGAAGUCGUAACAAGGUAACCGUAGGGGAACCUGCGGUUGGAUCACCU